AACGAACGCUGGCGGCAUGCCUAACACAUGCAAGUCGAACGAGACCUUCGGGUCUAGUGGCGCACGGGUGCGUAACGCGUGGGAACCUGCCCUUAGGUUCGGAAUAACUCCCCGAAAGGGGUGCUAAUACCGGAUAAUGUCUUCGGACCAAAGAUUUAUCGCCUUUGGAUGGGCCCGCGUUGGAUUAGCUAGUUGGUAGGGUAAAAGCCUACCAAGGCGACGAUCCAUAGCUGAUCUGAGAGGAUGAUCAGCCACACUGGGACUGAGACACGGCCCAGACUCCUACGGGAAGCAGCAGUGGGGAAUAUUGGACAAUGGGCGAAAGCCUGAUCCAGCAAUGCCGCGUGAGUGAUGAAGGCCUUAGGGUUGUAAAGCUCUUUUACCCGGGAUGAUAAUGACAGUACCGGGAGAAUAAGCUCCGGCUAACUCCGUG
Molecule: ribosomal RNA, 433 nt
Filed under: uncultured bacterium
Lineage: Bacteria
Description: partial 16S ribosomal RNA
Rfam family: Bacterial small subunit ribosomal RNA
Source: RNAcentral